CAGCAGCCGCCGCGGUAAUACAGAGGGUGCAAGCGUUGUUCGGAAUUAUUGGGCGUAAAGGGUGCGUAGGCGGCCCCGCAAGUCUUGUGUGAAAUCCUCAAGCUCAACUUGAGGCCUGCACGAGAAACUGCUGGGCUGGAGUAUGGGAGAGGUGAGUGGAAUUCCUGGUGUAGCGGUGAAAUGCGUAGAUAUCAGGAGGAACACCUGUGGCGAAAGCGGCUCACUGGACCAUAACUGACGCUGAGGCACGAAAGCUAGGGGAGCAAACAGGAUUAGAUACCCCCGUAGUCCCUGUCUCUUAUAA
RNAcentral lists this ribosomal RNA (304 nucleotides) under uncultured bacterium. RNAcentral describes it as "partial 16S ribosomal RNA". It matches the Rfam family "Bacterial small subunit ribosomal RNA", at positions 506 to 809 of the family's 1533-position model. The record is from RNAcentral.